UACAUAGGGGGCGAGCGUUGUCCGGAAUGACUGGGCGUAAAGGGAGUGUAGGCGGUUAUGCAAGUUACAUGUGAAAGCCCAGGGCUUAACUCUGGAACUGCAUGUAAAACUGCAUAACUAGAGUGUGGGAGAGGAAAGUGGAAUUCCUAGUGUAGCGGUGGAAUGCGUAGAUAUUAGGAGGAACACCAGUGGCGAAGGCGGCUUUCUGGACCACAACUGACGCUGAGGCUCGAAAGCGUGGGGAGCAAACAGG
This 253-nucleotide ribosomal RNA is filed under the name uncultured bacterium. RNAcentral's name for it is "partial 16S ribosomal RNA". It matches the Rfam family "Bacterial small subunit ribosomal RNA", at positions 524 to 776 of the family's 1533-position model. The record is from RNAcentral.